Molecule: ribosomal RNA, 253 nt
Filed under: uncultured bacterium
Lineage: Bacteria
Description: partial 16S ribosomal RNA
Rfam family: Bacterial small subunit ribosomal RNA
Source: RNAcentral
UACGGGGGGGGCAAGCGUUGUUCGGAAUUACUGGGCGUAAAGGGCUCGUAGGCGGCCUACUAAGUCGGAUGUGAAAUCCCCAGGCUCAACCUGGGAACUGCAUCCGAUACUGGAUGGCUUGAAUUCGGGAGAGGGAUGCAGAAUUCCAGGUGUAGCGGUGAAAUGCGUAGAUAUCUGGAGGAAUACCGGUGGCGAAGGCGGCAUCCUGGACCGACAUUGACGCUGAGGAGCGAAAGCCAGGGGAGCAAACGGG